This 798-nucleotide ribosomal RNA is filed under the name uncultured Porphyromonadaceae bacterium. RNAcentral describes it as "bacterial SSU rRNA". It matches the Rfam family "Bacterial small subunit ribosomal RNA", at positions 8 to 795 of the family's 1533-position model. The record is from RNAcentral. Lineage: Bacteria; Pseudomonadati; Bacteroidota; Bacteroidia; Bacteroidales; Porphyromonadaceae.
AGAGUUUGAUCAUGGCUCAGGAUGAACGCUAGCGAUAGGCCUAACACAUGCAAGUCGAGGGGCAGCACAUGAAGUAGCAAUACGGAUGGUGGCGACCGGCGCACGGGUGAGUAACGCGUAUGCAACCUGCCUGCAACAGGGGAAUAACCCGUUGAAAGACGGACUAAUACCCCAUAACACAGGGAUCCCGCAUGGGAAUAUUUGUUAAAGAUUUAUCGGUUGUAGAUGGGCAUGCGUUCCAUUAGCUUGUUGGUGAGGUAACGGCUCACCAAGGCAACGAUGGAUAGGGGAACUGAGAGGUUUAUCCCCCACACUGGUACUGAGACACGGACCAGACUCCUACGGGAGGCAGCAGUGAGGAAUAUUGGUCAAUGGACGCAAGUCUGAACCAGCCACGUCGCGUGAAGGAAGACGGCCCUACGGGUUGUAAACUUCUUUUGUAAGGGAAUAAAGUGCAGUACGUGUACUGUUUUGCAUGUACCUUACGAAUAAGGAUCGGCUAACUCCGUGCCAGCAGCCGCGGUAAUACGGAGGAUCCGAGCGUUAUCCGGAUUUAUUGGGUUUAAAGGGUGCGCAGGCGGGAGAUUAAGUCGGCGGUGAAAUUUUGCAGCUCAACUGUAAAAGUGCCUUCGAGACUGGUUUUCUUGAGUGUGGAUGAAGUAGGCGGAAUUUGUGGUGUAGCGGUGAAAUGCAUAGAUAUCACGAGGAACUCCGAUUGCGCACGCAGCUUACUAAACCAUAACUGACGCUCAGGCACGAAGGCGUGGGGAUCAAACAGGAUUAGAUACCCUGGUAGUC